This is a long non-coding RNA of Anguilla rostrata (American eel), 1441 nucleotides long. RefSeq lists it as uncharacterized. Lineage: Eukaryota; Metazoa; Chordata; Actinopteri; Anguilliformes; Anguillidae. The record is from RefSeq and is a predicted model, not a curated record. The transcript is spliced from 2 exons.
UAUAAGAUGCCUCUCCAACGGUAACGAGCACAAGGGAGAGAUCUGCUGAAUGUCUGAGCUAUGCUGGAUGGGUAAUUAUUGCUGUGGCAGAUGCCGGCACAAGAUGCUUUUAUGUCAUUUUAUUUUUUAUGUUUAUGUUCUGUUAUAAUGAUGAAAAUAAUAAUUACACUCAGCUUAUGUAUUUACAUACCGCUGACUCCUGCCAGGCUCAUGGUUUAUGUUAAUGUUUUGAGAUGAAGUCACUCAGGCUGUAAGUAUGAACAGGUUAAUUGUUUUGUGCUUUUUUCACAGUUGUCAAUCAAAUUUUGGUUAAUUUAUAUUGCACAUUUCAUACAGGAACUUACACAAGCAGUGUAGAUAUUAACAUACUGAAAAAUAAAUAAUAAUAAUAAUAAUUAUGAAAAAUAAAAAGCAACCACAGCUGUCCUGAUAGCAGCCUUUGUAAAGCUGGCUGGUUGCCAGAAACAUAUGCGAAAUCUUCAUCAUCCUCAAAAACUCUGGCCCAAUUGAAAAAUAAUUUUAAAAACUAUUUAAAAAAAAAAAAAAAAAAAAAAAAACAAUAUGCUGUCCUUUUAAGUACUCUAAUCUGUCCAAAGGCUUAAGCUCCGGCAGAUUUGCUUAUUUUGAGAAUUCCCUUUGAAUUACCCUCCCUUUCUGGAAGUGAUGAGACACGAGACAUUAAGAUUGUUUUCUUUUUAAAAAAAGAUUUCAGUCUGGCUGCAGUCUGAGUCAUCUCUCUCUCUCUCUCUCUCUCUCUCUCUCUCGCUCUUUUCUUUUGAAUAAUGUUUGGUAUGCUCGGGGGCAGACUGGUUCUCUGACACAUUUCCUUCUGUGUGGAUAUCGCCCGGCUUGUGCUGCUAAACCUUACCUUAUUGGCUGAAUGGGCUAUUGACCUUCGACCUCCCCGUCACCGCACACUGGGUUUUGAAUCUCUCCUAACUUCAGUGAUACCUCAUUUACACUCACUGCUUCAUUGUGUUUGUCCAAAGAUUUUUUUUUUUAUUACUGUUUUUUUAAAAGGCUAUUUUCUGCCCAGUCAGACGCUCUGUCCGCAUUGGAACAGCUGGUGGUGUCAUUCGCUGCUCAGAACUGUUCUUCUAUCAUUACGCUCUUCUUUCUUUUUCUUUUUGACAUUCCGCUAUCCUCUCUUCUCUACUUAUUCUUCUUUACCUUCUGAUGUUACACGACCCAGACAAAAAAUCUGGGUUGCUCAUCAAUCUCCGCCUCCCUCCUCCCCCCCCAAACUUUUUAAUUUAUGUCCGUAUUCCUGGCAGUGGAUCGUGCUUGUGGGAUGUCACACUUACUGAUCUGAUUCAUGGGUACUGAGCUGUAAAAGCUUCCCCAUGGGCACGUUCCUGCUGUUCACUCAGCAAUACGGCUGACUAGCUUUAGUCAUUCUUCUCCUUCAUAUUGUCCUCUGAAGCCCAUGAGCAGACAGGGU